Molecule: ribosomal RNA, 253 nt
Filed under: uncultured bacterium
Lineage: Bacteria
Description: partial 16S ribosomal RNA
Rfam family: Bacterial small subunit ribosomal RNA
Source: RNAcentral
UACAGAGGGGGCAAGCGUUGUUCGGAAUUACUGGGCGUAAAGGGCGCGUAGGCGGCCCGCUAAGUCGAACGUGAAAUCCCCGAGCUCAACUCGGGAACUGCGUCCGAUACUGGCGGGCUUGAAUCCGGGAGAGGGAUGCGGAAUUCCAGGUGUAGCGGUGAAAUGCGUAGAUAUCUGGAGGAACACCGGUGGCGAAGGCGGCAUCCUGGACCGGCAUUGACGCUGAGGCGCGAAAGCUAGGGGAGCGAACAGG